Molecule: ribosomal RNA, 495 nt
Filed under: uncultured bacterium
Lineage: Bacteria
Description: partial 16S ribosomal RNA
Rfam family: Bacterial small subunit ribosomal RNA
Source: RNAcentral
GACGAACGCUGGCGGCGUGCCUAAUACAUGCAAGUAGAACGCUGAAGGAGGAGCUUGCUUCUCUGGAUGAGUUGCGAACGGGUGAGUAACGCGUAGGUAACCUGCCUGGUAGCGGGGGAUAACUAUUGGAAACGAUAGCUAAUACCGCAUAACAGUAGAUAUCGCAUGAUAUCUACUUGAAAGGUGCAAUUGCAUCACUACCAGAUGGACCUGCGUUGUAUUAGCUAGUUGGUGAGGUAACGGCUCACCAAGGCGACGAUACAUAGCCGACCUGAGAGGGGGAUCGGCCCACCUGGGAAUGAGACACGGCCCAGACUCCUACGGGAGGCAGCAGUAGGGAAUCUUCGGCAAUGGACGGAAGUCUGACCGAGCAACGCCGCGUGAGUGAAGAAGGUUUUCGGAUCGUAAAGCUCUGUUGUAAGAGAAGAACGAGUGUGAGAGUGGAAAGUUCACACUGUGACGGUAUCUUACCAGAAAGGGACGGCUAACUACGUG